RNAcentral lists this long non-coding RNA (607 nucleotides) under Setaria viridis. Its description in RNAcentral is "long non-coding RNA (SVIR_LNC004332)". The record is from RNAcentral. Lineage: Eukaryota; Viridiplantae; Streptophyta; Magnoliopsida; Poales; Poaceae.
AGCCAAAAGCACAGACGAGGCCACUUCCUCUUCUUCCUUCCUCCACAGCAGAGCCAAGAAGAAGCACGAGGGGUCAGGGAAUCCAACCAAGCCCAGGAAGAUGGGUGCGACGCUCCUGCAGGCGGUGGCGGCGCUGGUGGGCCGGCUGCAGCGGGCGGCGCGGAGGAUGGCUGCCGGCGCCGGAGGGGCCGGCAAAGGGUCGCCGCCUCGCGCCGUCGUGGCGCCGUGGAAGAAGACGUUCUCGCUGGCACCGUCGGGGAAGGCGGCCAGGGAGGCCGAGGCCGGGGUGUGGAGGAAGGAGAUCCUCAUGGGUGAGCGCUGCCAGCCGCUCGACUUCUCCGGGGUCAUCUACUACGACGCCGAGGGCCGCCGCCUCGCGCAACCGCCGCCGCCCAGGUCGCCCAUGCGCAGCCCGCUCCCGGCCUCGCCCAGGCUCGCCGCCAACGCCUGCGCCUACUAGCUACUCCGUAUUAGGCUUGGAUCGGAGGGGUUGGGGGCUCAGCGUUCUUUGCUCUUGCCUGCAACGCGUUGGCCGCAAGACGGCGAGCUUGCUCUGUUUUAGUUGGGGAUGAGGCAGAGUGUGUGUCUGCUGGGGGAUUGUAGCUGU